GCUUGUUAACUAGCAAUGAUUCAGGUCUUGCAGAUUGUAAAGGAUCUGGUGACACCAUCGAGGCAAAAAGCAGCCAAAGUCAAGGAAGAUUCGGACCAGGAUGUAGCCCUCAAACUUGCCCAGGAGCGAGCCGAAAUAGUUGCUAAAUAUGACAGAGGACGAGAAGGUGCAGAGAUUGAACCUUGGGAGGAUGCUGAUUACCUUGUUUACAAAGUCACGGACAGAUUUGGCUUUUUACAUGAGGAGGAGCUCCCGUAUCAUAAUGCGGCUAUGGAACGGCAAAAACAACUGGAAAUUGAAAGAACGACUAAGUGGUUGAAAAUGCUAAAAGGAUGGGAAAAAUAUAAGAACACUGAAAAGUUUCAUAGGAGAAUUUACAAAGGAAUCCCACUCCAGCUCAGAGGUGAAGUCUGGGCUCUACUUCUGGAGAUCCCUAAAAUGAAAGAAGAAACAAGAGACCUUUAUAGUAAAUUAAAGCACAGAGCACGGGGCUGUUCACCUGACAUCAGACAAAUAGACCUUGACGUCAACCGCACAUUUAGGGACCAUAUUAUGUUUAGAGACCGAUAUGGUGUUAAGCAACAAUCCCUAUUCCAUGUUCUUGCUGCAUAUUCUAUUUAUAACACGGAAGUUGGAUACUGUCAGGGGAUGAGCCAGAUCACAGCUUUGCUCCUUAUGUAUAUGAAUGAAGAAGAUGCCUUCUGGGCCCUGGUCAAACUAUUCUCAGGCCCCAAACAUGCCAUGCAUGGCUUUUUUGUUCAAGGUUUUCCUAAACUCUUGAGAUUUCAAGAACAUCAUGAAAAAAUACUGAAUAAAUUUCUAUCCAAGCUUAAGCAACACUUGGAUUCUCAAGAAAUCUACACAAGUUUUUACACAAUGAAAUGGUUUUUUCAAUGUUUCCUUGAUCGUACUCCCUUUACACUAAACCUCAGAAUAUGGGAUAUCUACAUCUUUGAAGGAGAACGAGUUCUUACCGCUAUGUCUUAUACAAUCUUAAAAUUACACAAAAAACACCUAAUGAAACUGUCCAUGGAAGAACUUGUAGAAUUUCUUCAGGAGACCCUGGCAAAGGAUUUUUUCUUUGAAGAUGACUUUGUAAUAGAGCAACUUCAGAUUUCUAUGGUAGAACUGAAGCGUGCAAAAUUAGACCUCCCAGAACCUGGUAAAGAGGAUGAAUACCCACGGAAACCUUUGGGACAGCUUCCACCCGAAUCUGCUGGCAUCAGUCACCUGAGCAACGGACAAAGAAGCAUGGGCAGGUCAAGUCCCCCUCUGAACAGCAGAAGAGAGAGCAACUCUUCACCCCACAAAAAGCAUGAGCAUUCCCCUCACCAUCAAGGUCGAGUUGGCACACCAGAAAGAGUAAGGGCGCUGAGAAGGAAAUCCGUGGACGAAGACAGUAAAAAGCUUAAAGACGAAGCAGAUUUGCAAAGAAAACUUCCAUCGGGCCCACAAGACAGUUCGAGGCAAUAUAAUCACGCAGCUGCUAACCAGAACAGCAAUGCCACUUCAACUGUCAGGAAGGAAUUUGUGCCCAAGUGGAAUAAACCGUCAGAUACUUCAGCUAUUGAAAAAACUGCCAAAUAUGCCAUCGAAGGCAAAAGUAGGUCAGCACAUCCCUCGCUCACAGCCGCCGUCCCGAGUUCUGCUGAUACUCGGAUGUCGAAUGUGAGGCAAAAGAUGAAGGUUUGGGAUGUCGAUGAAGGGAAACGGGGCUCCAAUGCAUCCCAGUACGAUAACGUGCCCGAGAAUGAUAACAGCGCGUCUAUUGAAGAGGCGCUAGAAAGAGCUUACUGUCACAGUCCCAGGAAGCACGUGGAGCCAGGGUCUAGUCCAUCAAGAGCCUCAAACAAGUUUACUUUUAAAGUGCAGCCUGCAGGUUACACAAAAUACCCGUCUCCGUUAGACGGGGAAGAUCGCAGGACAGUGCACCCACCCUCCUACAGUAACCCCCCUGUGUACCACGGAAAUUCUCCCAAACACAUCCCUGCUGCCGACAGCAGCUUUGCAUCUCCACAGUUUACCCAUGGGACUCCAGGGAAUCCUUCCAGGAGACCUUAUGGCUCUACUCUUUCAGUCGAUAUUUCUCCAGAGAAAUCUUACAGCCGCCCUCUUCCUCUUGUCCUGCCAUCCAGCCGAAUAGAAGUUCUUCCUAUGGAGACCGGUGCCGGGGGGUAUUCAGGCAAUUCGGAGUCACCAAAGAACGGGAAAUUCAUCAUUCCUCCAGUGGAUUAUCUGCCGGAUAACAGAAAAUGGUCAGAAGUUAGUUACACAUACAGACCUGAGACUCACGGACAGCUGUGGACUCAAGAUGCUAACCGUAGCCACUUGAGCAAGUUACCAAAAUAUUCCGCCUUUCAGCAUGUUCCCUUUCAGGACCAUAGCCUCCCAGCAGUCUCAGUAGAUAGUCCAGUGCGAUACAGAACUUCACCAGGUUUAGAAGAUGCCGGUUCCUCUGGGUAUCAAUAUUCAGGGCCCUCGCCUCCAGGAUAUCACUACAGAAAUCGGGAUGGACUUUCUAUUCAAGAAUCAGUAUUGCUGUGAGAAUUUAUCUAUACUUGGUAAAGACAAGAGAAUAGAAACCAUUUGAAACCUACAUUGCUAUGUUUAUAAUUGCCAAAGCAGUAUUUCCUACUACUGUAAACAUCUUGCACAAUUCCAGUGUAUGCUAGUAAUAAGAAUAUGUAGAAGCGUUUCAUCCCCACGUAGAUGCUGCUUAAGAUGAGCAGUUUUUAAAUUGCAUCAUCACUGAAUCUGCUCAAAAGAAUUUAACAUGGAAACAUAGCAGUGGUGUUGAGGGAUGCACACAUGAUGAUAAUUCAUCACUCAGUUUCAUUUAUAUCUUUCUCCAAAACCUGAGCAUUUUUACUCCAUUAGCCUAUGCUAUUUUGAGAACCGUUAUAAAGCACUGAAAAACUGCACAGAAUAGACAUUUUUAAGGCUAGAUGUAGUGUACGUAUCUUUUAAUAGAUACCAAAAGGCCUCUGUGCACACACAUUUGAACACAAAACUAAAGAAACGUUAAAAAAACUAAUUUUAAUAUAUAUCCAUGGGAUAAUUUACUGUUCUUCCUUUCCUUAACUUAUCUUUCACUCAAGUUCCUCCCCCCCCCCCCAAUCUGUUUUUCACCCAGGUCCUAAAGUGAUGUAUGGGUCUGCCCCGACUUGAUUCAGCUUCUCUGCCAUUGCAGCCAUUUUCUUUCCAUCUGAAAAUUAAAGACACUGGAGAGCAAGGCUCACCACUUAAUGGUGCUUAAACAUCGGGGCACUCAAAGUACAAUUCUGAUUGUGCCAUUUACUCUACACAGAACGUGGAACUUCUUCGCCUCAACCAUGCACAUUGAGGACAACAGACUCAACACGAAGCAUGAGGCGUUUGUUUGAGAGCCCACGGAUGAGUGGGGUUGCCCACGGUAACCGAGAGGAUCUUUCUUCCCCACCGGGUGACGGGUCAAAAAGAAGACACGGAUUCGGAUUCGCAGCCACGUGAUCAUUUACCAGGGAGGGGGCAAGCGUCUCUCCCCCAUCGCUGAGGGAAUGGCGCUCCAGGAGAAGACGGCGACCUGUAGUUCUUACCUCUCACCGGAGCUCUGAAAGGAGCUGAGGAGGAUAAAGCACAUCCCAAAAGCCGGGCUUGGGGGACUGGAUCAAAGGAAAAGUCCCGGAGCUGCAGAGGGCAGUUUGUGACACAGCCGUGGGGUGAAGGAGGCGGGUGUCCUCCCGUGGGGGCAGGAGAGGGCCUUCCUCCCUCCCUGCAAGGACCAGGGGCAAAGUCACAAUUAGGCAUUUGUGAAGGAAAGAGAAGCCGGUCAUGCCAGCAAUUCAGCUCAAGGUGGUGGUGCUGUUACUUUAGGAAGCUGACUGGGUCUUUUUCUCUUCUAUCCACUUUGCCUUAUUUUGGUAGACCAAGAAGGCGGUAUUUUCCUCCUGGCCAGUGUGAAUCAGGUCACAUUUGCUUCUUUGGAUGGAAUCACCUCAAAGUGAUCAGAAGCAGUUUCCCCGCGGUCCCCGGUGCUGGUGGGGCUCACGGUGGCUGCUGGCUCCGUGCAGGCUCAGCCGGAGGGAGGUGGUUGUGUGACAACAGGCUUCCUGUUCCCUGCCUCUCGCCCCAGCCACAGUGCAAAGUCUGCAUGUGAACGUGUGUGGGUAAAUAUAGACAGAAGUGUGUUUGUGUAAAAUUUGCUUGUAUUUAUAAAAAGUAAUGGUAAACCAGAAACUGCAGAGGGGCUGGGGACAGGGAGAAGAGCUGGGUCUCCCUGUUAGGGCCGCCGGCUCUGGCCUGCUUCCAGCAGCCUGCCCCACUCCGCAGGGCUGGGUGAGGAGGAACUGGAACCCUCCUUUAUAGAUCAUGGCACUCGAAUUCCCUGCCUCUGUGGCCCCAAGCCCACUUACAGAACCCUUCCCGCGUCCCCCCUCCUCUGGGCAAACAGCACCUCCGGGAUGCACACCCACCACCUGAGGGCCGACCAGGGGCUGCCCCCCCCCCCCCCCGGCCCCGGCACGUGUGGGUGCAAGGCUUCUGUGGGAUGGGAGCGCCUGGGGCCUGGGAGCAGUGGGCGGAGGGAUGGGGCAGGCUCUCCUUGGGCCAUCCAGUUCCAGCCCGGAGCUCCUGAGAGCCAAGUGGGAAACUGGUCUCCAUGUCCAUGGGAAGAAGCACUUUCUAGGAGGAGAGGACAUAUUCUAUUUAGGAAUUUGGUGGCUCAGUUGGUUAAGUGUCCAACUUUGGCUUGGGUCAUGAUCUCACAGUUUAUAGGUUCGAGCCCCACCUCAGUCUCUGUGCUGACAGCUGGGGGCCUGGAGCCUGCUCUGGAUCCUGGGCCAUCUCCCUCUCUCUCUCUGCCCCUCUCCUGCUCACGCUCAGUCUCUCUCUCUUGAAAACAAACAUUUAAAAAAAAAAAAAAAGAAUUUGGUGGCUUGAUGUAUAACCUGAAAUUCUCAUGGGAUAUGGACCCCUGUUACCUUUGUGCAAGGACCCACGGGUAUUAAGGACACUUGACUAAAUUCGCCUUGUUUUGUACAUUUGACUUUGGAAUCGUGUGGAUAAUUUACAUAAUUAUGAAUUGAAAUGAAAUUUUAUUAAUGAAAUUCAUUUUAUUAAGGUGGGACUUAUUAAGAUGGGACUAUUUGGUAUGGAAGGAAGGAUGUACAGAUAUGUACUUAAUGAGUUAAAUAAAAGAGGAAAAGGAAACCAGUGACCUGGACUGGGUAUUGAACCGGUGGCAUAAACAUUCCGGUGACUGUGGAAUGUGAUCCUGGAACUCUGCCUCCCAAGCUGGGCUGUAUUCUGAGAACAAAAGGACCGUAAAACAUUUUUUAAAACUAUAGUCAUCAGUUCUCUUGUUUGUGAUAGUGUCAGGCAUUUUUAUUCUGAGCCUAUUGUGUGUAUACCGUGGAGUAGAGAACAUGAGUUGUUUUGUUGGUGUCAUUGAAGAUGGGACUUUUUUUUUUAAAAGGAUUUUAUUUAUUUUUGAGAAAGAGAGUGCAAGCAGGGGAGAGGCAGUGAGAGGCAGGGAACAGAGGACCUAAAGCUGGCUCCGGUGCUGACAGCUGAGAGCCUGAUGCGGGGCUCGAGUUCACAAUGAGAUCAUGACCUGAGCUGAAGUCAGGUGCUUAACCGACUGAGCCACCCAGGCGCCCCGUGGAUGGGACUAUUUGGUAUGGAAGGAAGGAUGUACAGAUAUCCACCUAAUGAGUUAAAAAAAAACCCAUAGUCCUGAAUCAGAGUUGGAAGUGUUAGUAUGAACUCAUGUAUUUUAUCUUUAAAAAGAGAUGUAUUUCCUGGUUUUGUCCAAUAAAGAGGCUUGGAGACGAUGAACGCCACUGGAACCCAAAUGGAGUGUCUAAAUAUCUAAAACUAAAUCCUGCCAGGAGGAACCAAGACUUCUAAGUUUGGGAUGGGAUAUGUUCAAGGUCGGCUCAGAUAUCGUGUCAUACCCACGAGCGAGGAUGUUAGCAAAGAUGGUGACACACAUGCCCAAUGAUGGGGUUUGUGAGCAAACAGCUGAGAAAGAAUUCUUGAGACGUCUUUGGUGCGAAAAGGUGAUUUUAUUAAAACCCAGGGACAGGUCCCAUGGACACAAAGAGCUGCCCUGGGGCUGCAAGGAGUGGCUGAUUAUAUACCCUUAAGUUGGGUGGGGGGGAGGUUAGGGAGAGCGUAAGUCUCUGAGGAAUUUGCAAGCAAAGCUUUCAGGACCUUGAGGGCCAGCUGCUGUUAGAAUAAGGUUACUUUUAGUCUUUAGUGAAACAGGAAAAGUAAGGCAGCAAGGCAGCUGUGAGUUUCUCCAGGAAGCUCACGCUCUACGUGUUCCAGGUGUCUGUCAGUGGGUUAUAAGCGGUAAGGAGAUUUGGAGAUGUAAGAUUUCCCUUGUCUCUGUGUUCCUCAUCACCCAAGACGCAGUCGUGAGCCAGACUGAGGAGUCUCCCACUGCCACUGCGGGUGGAGGAUCUCAGGGCUUCUUUAGGGAACCAGUGAUGACACUGUUGCCCCCACCCCAAAGUUAAUGACCCCUGUAUACUUUCAGUCUGUCUGCUUCCGGUUCAUUCCACAGGCACACAGUCUGUUCAAAAGUCUCUCUUGGACACCACCCUUCAGCUCGCCCCUGGAUCCUCUUUUAUUGAACGAUUUACACUGCCUCUCUCUCUCCUUUUAACAUGGCUUUCUUUUCUUUUUUUUUAAUUUUUUAAAAUGUUUAUUUAUUUAUUUUGAGACAGAGAGAGAGCACGCAGGAGGGACAGAGAGAGACACACAGAGAGAGAGAGAGAAGAUCUGAAGCAGGCUCCACGCUAUCAGCAUAGAGCCUGACACGGGGCUCGAUCACAAACCGUGACAUUGUGACCCGCGGUGAAGUUGGAUGCUCAACCAACUGAGCCACCCGCGUGCCCCACACCCAUUUUAAGAAUUGGUUUUCCUAGAACUCCAGGCUGUCUAGGUGCCUGGUCCACUCUCCGAGUUAUUGAAGGCAACUGAUUUGCCAAGUAUUCCGCCACAUAAGUAAUGCAGCUCUGUGGCUCUCCAGCCUCAACGUGGCUUUCUCCCCGCCUGCCACCCAAGUGCUAACACGGGGCCGCGUGAUUGAGUUUUCACUAUGACGACACACGACUAGUUAGGACACGUGACAGAUGCUGUAACACAAGAGCCCAGGCAGCAGGGGCUCAAGGAAGGUGAAAUCGCAGCUCUCUCCCACACAGAAGCCAGACGGGACACAGGUACUCAGGGAGCUGUGCUCCACAAGGCCAUCAGGGGCUCCAGGGCCUCAUCCGCCAUUGCUCAACCAGUCUCCAAGCUUGCUGUCUGUGACCAAGGGGUCGAAUUUGACUCAUUCCAUGGCCUCUGCCUUCCAGUCCAGACUAAGCUAGAACAGGAGGAAAUGGAGGGCAGAGAACUUCUUUAUGACAAUAACCUGUCACUUGAACAAAUAACUUCUGCCCACAGUCUGUUGGCCAAAAUUUAACCCUCCAGUCAUAACCAUGCGCACGAGAACCUAGGAAAUGUAAUUUCUAACUGGGAUGCCAUGUGCGCAGCCAAAUUCAAGGGGUUCUGUUAUUAGAAGGAAGAAGGGGAAAAUGGAUACUGGGGCAAUUAACUUUUCUGCCCCACCUAGCCACCCCUUGGGGUAAGAGCUCACCGCAGGGUAUUUUUCCUUAAAUCUCUGCUGUCCAAGAAAUAAGACAUUUUCUGUGGCUCAAAUCUUAUUGUGUAGCUCAUGGUUUAAGUCAGAUCAGGGAUAAGGGCAUUAGCUGGAGUGAUGUCCCUUCUUCUAGAUGGCCAUUCCAAUCCAGAUUCCCAAUUGCCCUGUGGUUGGUAAUGAUAGCAAUAAUAAUAGACAACCACCAUUAUUGAACAGCCAUUUUACACUGGUUAUUUUUUUAAGUGACUCGUGUGCAUUUUCUCAUUUAGUCUUUGCAAAGCCGACAAAGCAGGUGUUCAAAUGGCCAUGCUCUACACUAGGAAGCUGUGCCCAAGACUGUAAUUGAGAGAGCCUUCUCACCAACCUUCUCGACCCUGGGUCCACAUCGUAGGGGUCCAACACAGACUCCUGAAAGGAAAUGAAAAGCUGGCCAUGACAUGACAAGAACAACCAUGGAUGGACCGAGUCUCGUGCAGGAUCAGUAUAGCUUGGAAACUAGUGAUUUCCGAAUUGGGACCCUUCAUCUUGCGGUGGGGGUGGGGUCAGGAUGGCCCAUCGGAAUGCAGGAAGACAGUGCCGGAAUGUUCAUCUGCAUUUAUUUUUACCUCAUCCUGUAGGCAUUUCUCUUGGGUGCGUGUUUGCUAACGUGGGCACCAUCAUCAGUGCAGUAGUGAAUAUAUUUAAUUUAUAAGUAAAUAUACAAUAUGGAAGUGCUCACCAGGCAUUUGCAAAUGGCGGGGUGCUUGAUCUACAAAGCUUGGAGACCACUUCUCUCCACUGCUGUCCCCCCAGGUCCCAGGUGUUCCCACAGAGGAGGAGUGGACAGUGGAGGGAUGAGCGUUCUGGGGCAAUAAUGCUUUUAUACGGGCCAGAGUGCGACUGACCAAUUACAAACACACACAGAGCCCAGAGAAGGUGCAAUCCACUCCUCAAAGCUCUCCUUGGCUUCUUUCCCCUGUGCACCAUGUGCCUUCCUGGGGCUCCUUCUCACUCCUUCCGUCUGCCUCUCAGAAGUUUCCAGCCCCAACCUCACACCAUCCUGUGUACACAACUGGGGAAGUCCCAUUUCUGGACCCAGAAUUUUCCAACGAGAGCACCAGCAAGGCCAGCACACCCCUUUCUUGCUAAUAUUGACCCCCCUCAUAGCAUAAGUCCUUGUGUUCUAUGUAACAGUGGUGAUGGGUCCACUGGUGCCCCUCGUGAGGGACUGAAUUGUGCCCUAAGUCCUAUGCCAAAGUCCUAACUCCCGGGGUACCUCAAAAUGUGGCCUGAUUUGGAGGUAAGAUCUUUACAGAGGUCAUCAAGUUAAUGUGAGGUCAUUGGAGUGAGCCCUAAUUCUCUAUGACUGAUGUCCUUAUAAGAAUGGUAAAAUUGGGAGACAGACACGCACUGGGAGAGAAGGCCAUGUGACCACGCAGGUGGGGACCUGCAGGUCAAGGAACCCCGGGGGGUUGCCAGCACACCGCCAGAGACUCUUGGAUGGGAUUCCCUCCCUGCUCGCAGAGGGACCCAGCCCUGCCCACACCUUGAUCUUGGCCUUAGGCUUCUAGAACUGUGAGACUGUAGGUUCUGUGAUGAAGCUGGUGCUUUGUUAUGGCAGCCUCAGCCGACAAAUGUGCCCUGGUGCCUGAGGAACCCCUGCCUUGUUCAGCUCAGUCUCAUCUUCAGUAGAAAGCGAGGGCUUCUCUCUGUCCAUCUGAGGGUGUCCGGGUCUCCACCCGCUGCUCCGUGAGUGUGAAAUGGCCCCGGGGGGUGGAGUCAGUGGAGGCAGCAGUGGCCUCCAUUCUCUGAUCUCGCCUUGGUUUCCCCUCUGUUCCUGCUUAAUUUCCACGAGAGUUUUCUCUCCCCUUCCUUCAGGCCCAGCCUUACCUUCUCCAAGCAGAAAAACUAGCCAUAGCCAGGGUUUGUCUCUUUUCUGCUAGAAACUGGCCUAGUCACAGAAAACUCGAGUUGCCCCUGGGAUACAGCAGGCCGUGUCCCCCAAGUCCAGAAUGAGGACGUUAUUGCUGAGGUGCGAAGGCGUUUACCUGAAGGGUCACGCAAAAGCAUAAAGGCUAACUUACAUCAGGUCAUUCACUUUACGGUAUACAUUGAAAAUGGUAGAGGGGCGCCUGGGUGGCGCAGUCGGUUAAGCGUCCGACUUCAGCCAGGUCACGA
Molecule: RNA transcript, 9784 nt
Organism: Prionailurus viverrinus (fishing cat)
Lineage: Eukaryota; Metazoa; Chordata; Mammalia; Carnivora; Felidae
Gene: USP6NL
Gene name: USP6 N-terminal like
Exons: 17
Source: RefSeq, a predicted model, not a curated record